RNAcentral lists this ribosomal RNA (497 nucleotides) under uncultured bacterium. RNAcentral's name for it is "partial 16S ribosomal RNA". It matches the Rfam family "Bacterial small subunit ribosomal RNA", at positions 28 to 507 of the family's 1533-position model. The record is from RNAcentral.
GAUGAACGCUGGCGGCGUGCCUAAUACAUGCAAGUCGAGCGAACAGACGAGGAGCUUGCUCCUCUUACGUUAGCGGCGGACGGGUGAGUAACACGUGGAUAACCUACCUAUAAGACUGGGAUAACUUCGGGAAACCGGAGCUAAUACCGGAUAAUAUAUUGAACCGCAGGGUUCAAUAGUGAAAGACGGUUUUGCUGUCACUUAUAGAUGGAUCCGCGCCGCAUUAGCUAGUUGGUAAGGUAACGGCUUACCAAGGCAACGAUGCGUAGCCGACCUGAGAGGGUGAUCAGCCACACUGGAACUGAGACACGGUCCAGACUCCUACGGGAGGCAGCAGUAGGGAAUCUUCCGCAAUGGGCGGAAGCCUGACGGAGCAACGCCGCGUGAGUGAUGAAGGUCUUCGGAUCGUAAAACUCUGUUAUUAGGGAAGAACAAAUGUGUAAGUAACUAUGCACGUCUUGACGGUACCUAAUCAGAAAGCCCCGGCUAACUACGUG